This 71-nucleotide transfer RNA is filed under the name Tigriopus californicus. Its description in RNAcentral is "tRNA-Ala for anticodon UGC". It matches the Rfam family "tRNA". Rfam says of the family: Transfer RNA (tRNA) molecules are approximately 80 nucleotides in length. The record is from Rfam by way of RNAcentral. Lineage: Eukaryota; Metazoa; Arthropoda; Copepoda; Harpacticoida; Harpacticidae.
GGGGAUGUAGCGCAGUGGUAGCGCGUUCGCUUUGCAUGUGAAAGGCCCCGGGUUCAACCCCCGCAUCUCAA